This 105-nucleotide ribosomal RNA is filed under the name Acanthosepion pharaonis. The record is from RNAcentral. Lineage: Eukaryota; Metazoa; Mollusca; Cephalopoda; Sepiida; Sepiidae.
UACGGUCAUAUCGCGUUUUAACACCGGUUCUCGUACGAUCACCGAAGUUAAGCAACGUCGAAACUGGUCAGUAGCUAGAUGGGUAAUCGCUUGGGAAUACCUGGC